GUCACGGUGAUGGCUCUGUUCCAACAUUGUGGUUUAUUUUCUUAGUCUUUCGAUGAGCCCAAAGUCAGGGUUUGGCUGGGACUCGGGAGAGUCGAUGGAAAGCUAUCGGGGAUGUGGUAAGGAAAACAACUGUGUGCCAUCCAUGUCUCAUGCAACACCCAAGGAGCUCUGGAUUUGGAAGGGGGAAUCCCACUGAAGCUGGCAUUUCCUUGAACUGUGUUUGACUUCAAUCUCCUGGCUCUGGGGUUGUGUAGAAGACUCUGUUUCUAUGAGUAGAGGCAAGACUUUCAUAUUGGACUGAAACAUAAGGAUGGAGACAGAGAUUGACUGGAAGAAUAAGAUUUGGGGACAAAAAUGCCAGGCCUGGUAGGUCACACAGGUACCAGCUUCUUACUACAUAAAGGGAUUGUGACUUUACAUCCAGUAAAGUGUGUGUGGCACUCAGAUAAUGUGGAGACAAGCAUCACAGGAAAGCCUAUACCGGUGUUAAUAGCUCUGUCUCUCAAGUUUUACCUCUCAAAUACCUACAGAUUCAAGGAGAGGGGAUUUCAUGGCAUUUGCACACUGAGCAGUGGAGAUAAAAUAUAACUGCUCUCUAGGAGGGCACAUUCCAAACUGCUGCUCAUGGCUCACCGCCCUGAAGGAAGGUUUAGGAGACAGCAGGCAUUCUCCUGCUCCUGAAGAUUUACCAUUGCUCAUUUGC
Long non-coding RNA from Lepidothrix coronata (blue-crowned manakin), 703 nucleotides. RefSeq lists it as uncharacterized. The transcript has 3 exons. Lineage: Eukaryota; Metazoa; Chordata; Aves; Passeriformes; Pipridae. The record is from RefSeq and is a predicted model, not a curated record.